Molecule: long non-coding RNA, 371 nt
Filed under: Trifolium pratense (red clover)
Lineage: Eukaryota; Viridiplantae; Streptophyta; Magnoliopsida; Fabales; Fabaceae
Description: long non-coding RNA (TPRA_LNC012987)
Source: RNAcentral
CUAAGUAUUUUAAUAUUUUGUCUAAUUUAUGCUAAUAAAAUAAAAUAAUUAUUGUUUUUUUUAUGAAACUACAGAUGCACCAAGAAUGAGCAAAAUAUCAAAGAAACAAGGCAACUAUCAUCAAAAAGUGGCGCUAGCCACCUUGUGUAAGGCGUUGGCCUUGAAAAGGCACAAGCCACACAACACAAGGCGCUGGCCUUGACUCAUAAGGUGCUGGCCGUGACUCAUAAGGUGCUGGCCUUGAGUUAUAAGGUGCUGGCCAUGAGUCACAAGGCGCCAGCUUGGCACAUUUACACUAAGCAAGUGGCGCCAGCCACUAAGCAACAAGGUACCAGUCACAACAAAAAAGGCGCUGGCCGUUCCUAUUUUUU